UGAGGAAUAUUGGUCAAUGGACGCAAGUCUGAACCAGCCAUGCCGCGUGCAGGAAGACGGCUCUAUGAGUUGUAAACUGCUUUUAUACGGGAAUAACCAUGAUUACGUGUAAUCAUCUGAAUGUACCGUACGAAUAAGCACCGGCUAACUCCGUGCCAGCAGCCGCGGUAAUACGGAGGGUGCAAGCGUUAUCCGGAUUUAUUGGGUUUAAAGGGUGCGUAGGCGGAAAAGUAAGUCAGUGGUGAAAUCUUGCAGCUUAACUGUAAAACUGCCAUUGAUACUGUUUUUCUUGAGUAUAGUUGAGGUAGGCGGAAUGUGUAAUGUAGCGGUGAAAUGCUUAGAUAUUACACAGAACACCGAUUGCGUAGGCAGCUUACUAAACUAUAACUGACGCUGAGGCACGAAAGCGUGGGGAGCGAACA
RNAcentral lists this ribosomal RNA (422 nucleotides) under uncultured bacterium. RNAcentral's name for it is "bacterial SSU rRNA". It matches the Rfam family "Bacterial small subunit ribosomal RNA", at positions 355 to 774 of the family's 1533-position model. The record is from RNAcentral.